GACGAACGCUGGCGGCGUGCUUAACACAUGCAAGUCGAACGGAAAGGCCCUGCUUUUGCUGGUUUCUCGUUUGGCGAACGGGUGAGUAACACGUGAGUAUCCUGCCCUUGUAUUUGUGAUAACUUCAGGAAACUGGGGCUAAUACCGGAUAUGAUCUCCUGCAGCAUGUUGGUCGUUGGAAAGUUUCGGCGUUUGUGGAUGGACUCGCUGCUUAUCAGCCUGUUUGUGGGGUAGUGGCUUUCCAAGGCUUUCACGGGUAGCCGGCCUGAGAGGGUGACCGGCCACAUUGGGACUGAGAUACGGCGCAGUCUCCUACGGGAGGCAGCAGUGGGGAAUAUUGCACAAUGGGCGGAAGCCUGAUGCAGAAACGCCGCGUGCGGGAUGACGGCCUUCGGGUUGUAAACCGCUUUCGCCUGUGACGAAGCGUGAGUGACGGUAAUGGGUAAAGAAGCACCGGCUAACUACGUG
RNAcentral lists this ribosomal RNA (468 nucleotides) under uncultured bacterium. Its description in RNAcentral is "partial 16S ribosomal RNA". It matches the Rfam family "Bacterial small subunit ribosomal RNA", at positions 28 to 507 of the family's 1533-position model. The record is from RNAcentral.